Molecule: ribosomal RNA, 444 nt
Filed under: uncultured Lachnospiraceae bacterium
Lineage: Bacteria; Bacillati; Bacillota; Clostridia; Lachnospirales; Lachnospiraceae
Description: partial 16S ribosomal RNA
Rfam family: Bacterial small subunit ribosomal RNA
Source: RNAcentral
ACGGGAGGCAGCAGUGGGGGAUAUUGGACAAUGGGGGAAACCCUGAUCCAGCGACGCCGCGUGAGUGAAGAAGUAUUUCGGUAUGUAAAGCUCUAUCAGCAGGGAAGAAAAAUAACCAAAUUGACUGUACCUGACUAAGAAGCCCCGGCUAACUACGUGCCAGCAGCCGCGGUAAUACGUAGGGGGCAAGCGUUAUCCGGAUUUACUGGGUGUAAAGGGAGCGUAGGCGGCGAAGCAAGUCAGAUGUGAAAUCCCAGGGCUCAACCCUGGUACUGCAUUUGAAACUGUUUUGCUAGAGUAUCGGAGAGGUAAGUGGAAUUCCUAGUGUAGCGGUGAAAUGCUUAGAUAUUAGGAAGAACACCAGUGGCGAAGGCGGCUUACUGGACGAUAACUGACGCUGAGGCUCGAAAGCGUGGGGAGCAAACAGGAUUAGAUACCCUGGUA